RNAcentral lists this unclassified non-coding RNA (313 nucleotides) under uncultured fungus. Its description in RNAcentral is "partial contains 5.8S ribosomal RNA and internal transcribed spacer 2". The stretch from base 1 to 133 matches the Rfam family "5.8S ribosomal RNA", at positions 22 to 154 of the family's 154-position model. The record is from RNAcentral. Lineage: Eukaryota; Fungi.
UGGUUCUGGCAUCGAUGAAGAACGCAGCGAAAUGCGAUAAGUAAUGUGAAUUGCAGAAUUUAGUGAAUCAUCGAAUCUUUGAACGCACAUUGCGCCCUUUGGUAUUCCGAGGGGCAUGCCUGUUCGAGCGUCAUUACAACCCUCAAGCUCUGCUUGGUAUUCAGCACCGUCUCUACGACAGGCUGUAAAGGUAGUGGCGGUCAGUAGCUGGCUCCAAGCGUAGUAAAAUCUCUCGCUACGGAGCUUGGCUAUGGACCUGCUAACCAAUCACUUUUUACAGGUUGACCUCGGAUCAGGUAGGGAUACCCGCUGA